CUCAGGCUGUAGUGUCUGGGGGCAGUGGUACUGAUGAUCUUUGCAGCUCUCUCUCCACUUUGCCUUCCUCAGUCCAGCUUCUAUGCUUUUCUCUGCUGCUUUGAGGGCCCUCUGUUUCAGCUGAUCUCCCCAUUGGCUAGGUGGCUUCCCAGGGUGUAGGUUCCUUUCCCCUUUCUCAGCUCCCUCUUAGGAGUGCUGUUCUCAUCCUGAUUCUUAUCUCUCUCUCUCUUUUUUUCUUUGGUUCUCCAGUUAUGUGGAGGUUUUCUUGCUCUUUUUGGAGGUUUAAGGUCCUCUGCCAGCAUUCAGUAGGUGUUCUGUGAGAAUCGUUCUACAUGUAGAUGGCUUUUUAUAGAUGUGUUUGUGGGAGAAGAUGAGCACCACAUCUUACUCUGCCAAUUUGAUCCCACCUACUGUAUCAAAGUAGGUACAGUAUACUUUGUACGACGAGGGUUCAGAAAGUUCUAGUAACUAGUGGAUAGGAUUUUAGGCUAUCCAUUAAAAAGCUGUAAAACCUAGACUGAAAUCACUACCUAAUUCUUAUUUAAUGGAAUGUUGGGGGCAAAAUAUUUUGAGAUGCAUAGCUUCUAUAGAAAAUGAGGAGCAUUAUAACCCAGAGAGAAUUAUGACUCAGAGCCAUGGAGAUAAGAAUGAAAUGGACUGGCUCAGAAACCUGGUCCAUGGCAGUGGCAGCAGACAUGGGGCUGGGAGCCGCUCUGGUAGCAGCAGUGGUGCCUGAGAGGGGAGGGAGGCCAAGACAGUGAUUACAAUACAGUCCGGUAUGUUUUAUUGAGAUAUGUUGUAAGAACACAGAUGAAGAAUAUCUAAAGCAGGAAAAGUUUCCAUGAAGGGUGACAGAAGGUAUUCCAUGAGGAUCCAAAACUACCAAUGGACUAUUCAACCCCUUCCCCCAGCACCCAGGAGCCCCCUGAACUAUGAUACAGAGUACUACAAGUCUACAGGGGGUGUAGCAUGAAUGCUGAAUUAAAGAGGGAACCAGGCACAGAAGGGGCCCCCUUCUAUAGAGACCCCAUGCUCAGGAACAGAGAUACCUGAAGUGGAAAUAGAAAUGAGCAAGAAACAUUAUAAUCCUACCCUCUACCCCACACACAUAUGCAUCCUCAUUCAUGGAGUCCCUGUAACGGACAACAGGGGGAAAAUGGACCCCCUUACGCCCAACACAAUCAGUCAUGACUCCAGGAAACCUGAGCAAAUAAUGCAGCAGGUAUGAUUAAGGCUUUACUGGGGAUAAAACAGGGCUGGGCAGGAACCACACUGGAAAGCAGGGCCUGCACACCAAGCCAGGACUUGUCUUCAGGGCAGUGCUGGGAGUUGAGAGCAGAGCUCUCUGAACCAGGGGUCUGGUUUGGCUCCUCAUAACAGAAGCAACAAUGGAAGGGAAGGAUAGUAGGUUGGUUUUAGUGAAGGAGGGAUAACAUGGGGUGAGAGAGGAACUUUGCUGAAGAUAAGUGGGGACUGAAGCUUGAAAGGAUGGAUGGAAAAGGGGUUGGGAGGGAGAUAAGGGGGUCAAUAGGGCACCUAGAGUGAAUAGAAGGGGAAAGAAAAGGAAAGAUGGUUCUGGGUGCAAGAAGUCCAGGUGUUCUCCAGGGUGCUGGCACAGCAAACACAGCACUGGCUCCUUAUUCCAUCUCCUGGUCUUCCAGGACUCUACUUGUUGCCCCACACAGCAAUCUUUAGAAACAUUGGGUUUGGGUGGAAGCGGCUGGACUUCAUGUAGGCAGAGAUCUUCUUUAGGCCCUGAUGGUGGGAAAAAGAAGUCCAGAUAUCAGGUCUGCUGCCCCCACUGGGACUCAUGCAGAUCUAGGUUUGGGACCCAGGCAUAACCCUCCUAUGUGGGGUCAAAUGGUGGGAUAAAAUGGUCUUUCUGAGGUCUCCAGCUCUGGAAAGUCACCUCUUCCAAUUUCCUGUAAUUCAUGGGAUAUCUUGAUAAGACUUAGCACUCAUAUGGAGACUUUACCCAGUGCUUGGUACUAUGUGUCCUCUAGAGAUGAGGACAUAGAUUUUGAAUCUCUACACAACUACAUUGCAAGAUACUAAGGCACACAUAGGUUAAGCAUGACCCUCAUACUAAUACAGCUCAUAAGUAAUAUGGAUAGAAUAGAGCCAGGCUUGCUCAUUCUCUUGCUCUCUCCCCACCCCCAACUCCCCAUUAUCAUUUCUUUCUGCCAAACCUCCUUCCUCACAGCUGAAAACAAAAAGAAAAAGAGGCCCACUUAUCAUUAGAUUACACAAAGGGCUAAGUCAACACUCAGGGCAUUUGGCCACCAAAAGUGGACCUGGAGGAGAGUACAGGAUGGAGAAAAACAAGAUAAAACAUCUGCUAUUUUAGAUACAUGGGCCCUAAAUAGUUAAGAUGAAUAUCUAAGGAAGAAUUCCAAUGAGCCCAGAUUCAUGCAUCUUUCCAUACACAGAAAAGCAUUCAAAUCAUUAAUUUAUUAUGAUUUUUUGAUCAGCAGAACUUUUUACCAAGAUGUAUGGCUGACUACAUGUAUUUCCUAGUCUUCUUCCCUGAAUUCUUGAGAUCAGUUCCUUCGAGUUGAGAGGCUGUCCCCUGGGCUAUAGUUUUAAGUAAGAUCCCCAAAUAAACUCACACCUCUUACAUUGUGUUGAUAUUUUUUUUCAGUUGGCAGUUUUGGAGACCAUGAAGAGACCCAGAGCUGAUUUUUCGUCACCUGAACUUUGAAAGGAUCUGAAGACUUUAUACCAGCAAGGUCCAUUGUCCCCUCCACUUCCUCAGUAAGUUGCAGAUUUAGGUGCAUCUCUUCUGGUCUCAGAUCUCUCACCUUGGUUAACAAUCCUGUUUUGUUCAUGGUGGAUAAAAAAGGUACCUCACUUCUCAGUUGAAAGAUACUAAGUGCCUAGUUAAGAGACAUUGGGAAGUUUGGAAUAGGUAAAGGGAUAGUUGAUGGCUUUCCUUGAAUUGACUUAGUUUAACAGAGUUGUUGGAAUCAAAGUGUAGAUACUAUAUGAGAAUUCUUAGCUCCAAAGAUAAGGGACACAGCUCUAUCUUGGCCUCUUGGCCACAGAUACUCUUGAGGUAAGAGUAUCUCAGACAACCGAGAAACAUGCAGUACUGGUAGAGGCAAGUCCUCAUGCAAUAACAGCUGUUCCUGAGGGAAAACCCUAUCUUUAAAGAAACUCGCCCAUCUGGGGAUGCACAAAGAUUUGGCCACCCAGCGUUCCCAGUGCUCAUGGUGGUUUUAGCUUGUAGGAGAAAGAAAGUGAAACAAUUAAAAAACUGAAACAGAGGAGUUCCCAUUGUGGCUCAGGGAGUUAGGAACCCAAUUAAUAUCCAUGAGGAUGCAGGUUUGAUCCCUGGCAUAGCUCAGUGGGUUAAGGAUCUGGCAUUGCCAUGAGCUGUGGUGUAGGUCACAGACAAGGCUCAGAUCCCACAUUGCGUGGCUGUGGUGUAGGCUGGCAGCUACAAUUCCAAUUGGACCCCUAGCCUGGGAAUUUCCAUAUGUUGCAGGUGUGGCCAUAAAAAACAAACAGAUAAAUUAAAAAAAACUGAAAUAACUUUCAGGUGACACCUAGAAGAGUUAAAGUCACAAAUAGCUCACUGGCCCAUCACACAUUGAUCAACAGUUGUUUCAUCCUGAUAGACUCUGAAAUGGAAGCAAAACUUUCAAAAGAAAAGAAAGUAGGGUAACAGAUUGCUAACCACUGAGUAACAUCCCAGCCAGGUUCAGCUUUAGUAGUUACAGGGCUUACAUUUUCAAGUACUUACUUACUUGGGGCAACUAUGCCUAAAAUGGUCAAAAUGGGUUUCUUUUGACAUUCCAAAAUUAUCUUUACUUGUGUGUCUAUAUCCAGGGAGAGAAAGCAGGCUGUAAGACCAAACAGACUGAAUGGGAUAUGUAUUUCAAUUGGCAUUGACAAGCUUCUAAAAAAGGAAAUUAUAAAAUAACUUCUUUGCAGAAAAGCAACAAAAAAUUACUUAAAAUUAUUUCAGACUUUUAAAAAGGCCCCUGAAGCUGGCCAUGUUCUGUGCUCCUCCUUGUUCCUUUAAGUGUACACAGACAGGGAGUUCCCAUCAUGUCUCAGUGGAAACGAAUCCAAUUAGGAACCAUGAGGUUGUGGCUUCAAUCCCAGGCCUCACUCAGUGGAUUAAGGAUCUGGUGUUGCCGUGAGCUGUGGUGUAGGUCAUAGACGUGGCUAGGACCCCAUGUUGCUGUGGCUGUGGCAUAGGCUAGCAGUUGUAGCUCUGAUUAGACCCCCUAGCCUGGGAACCUCAAUAUGCUGCAGGUGUGGCCCUAAAAAGCAAAAAAUAAAAAAGUGUACACAGCCAUGCUCUCCUUUGCAUCUCCCUCUCUGAACUUCCCUUUAUGUAACACAAGAAAUGAUUCCUCACAGGAAGCAACAAUAAUUCUAAAGGCUUGAUAAAAUUGUGAUUCUUUUGGCCAAAAAAGAUUUUAAAACUUUUUUUCCCCAAAACUAUGACUUUAAGCAAACAAAAUCCCUUCUAGGAAGAGUUUGCCUUACCUCCCUGUGCUUUUAAGAUGUAAAUGUUCUACCUGACCUUCUUAAGCAUCUUCCACUGUGUUUUGAGAGCUUAGACUCUGCCACUGGAAAAGUACAUAGAUGGUGCCCCUUUGCCAGCAAGUGAAAUAGACUGGGAUUAAAGCAGUCUUUUUAUCUAGAAAUGCUAUUUUUCAGGAAAAUUUGUCCUGAGUGGUCCCAUUCCAUAAGGAGCCUUUCUUGUCUCAACAGUCCUUGCAUCUCCCUAUAUAAGGAAAGCCUUUACUUUCUUAGAAUACAUUUAGGAACCAACUGUCUGGAUCCUGUGAAGGCAUCAUCCUUUGCACUCUCUUGUGCAGAGAUACCUCUUGCAUCUUACUGGUUUAAGCCAUAUUUGAAAUGCUAACAAUGGGUCCUCUAAAUUGGAUCUGAUUUCAGAGAGACAGCAGUGAGUGAUGGCUUGGAGCAAGAUCUUAAUCCUCUGCUCAAGAGUUGAACCUGGGCAGCCUGGAUAAAAACUAGGAAUCCCAGCCACCAGAUCAGAGGCUAAAAGCAGAACUGCCCUGAUUCUUGCCCACUGUUGAAAGCAAAAAUGUUCCAAGGAGGCAAGGACUAUGAAAAGAGGUACAAGGUUUAUCAUUAGAAAUACAGUACAAUAUGGGGGGGGGGCACAGAAAGAAGUAGUCUAUCUAAGGCAGAAGCAAAGCAGUCAUACACAAUCCAAAGGAGGAGUGCAGGUUCGGGUGUCCCCCUGAAUGAGAAGCACACCAGCGAGGUGAUUUAAAUCAUUUAUAUAGGCCAGUUCUUCAGGGUCUUUGUUUUCCUUUGGCUGAAUUACCUUGUGUUAUUUCUCAGACCUGACCAGACCCAGGGCCCUGCCUGAUAUGUGUACACAUCUUUUGGCCAAGAUAGAUUCCAGAGCAAAGGGUAAUGGGAUGGUUAUCAGGACUUAUUAUGGCCUGGCACCUCCUCACUCUUUGACCCAGAGGGGUCUUUCAGUGCAUGUGUAGUUGGAGCCUCCCUGACUUCAAGGAUAGGAAGUAUGUGACCUCUUGAUCUUUUGCCCAAUCAGGGCUUAGCCCCUUCCCUGUCUCUGCUAUUACCAUUAUUUAACAUGUCCAUAGAAGAUAAAUUCCAGCUAUUUGCCAGCUGUUGUUAUUUCUAUUUUAAAGUAUAGAUAGGUGGCUGGUUGUAAAUGUCUAUCACGGAGCCCAGCUAUAUCCUGCCUCAGAUCCACUGGAACACUUUUUUUAAAAAUUUAAGCUUUUUUUUUUUUUUCUUGGGGAGAAGGAUCAAGAUGGUGGAAGAAUAAGUCAUGGCGCUCACCUUCUCCCACAAACACCUAAAAAAAA
Molecule: long non-coding RNA, 5828 nt
Filed under: Sus scrofa (pig)
Lineage: Eukaryota; Metazoa; Chordata; Mammalia; Artiodactyla; Suidae
Description: lncRNA (ENSSSCG00015008363.1)
Source: RNAcentral